GGAGGCACUGCCUGCCCAGUGACACGUGUUCAACGGCCGCGGUAUCCUGACCGUGCAAAGGUAGCAUAAUCACUUGUUCUCUAAUUAAGGACUUGAAUGAAUGGCAACACGAGGGUUUAACUGUCUCUUACUUUCAAUCAGUGAAAUUGACCUCCCCGUGAAGAGGCGAGGAUGUUACAAUAAGACGAGAAGACCCUAUGGAGCUUAAAUCAAACAAUCCAAACAAACUCACUUCCAAGCCUAACAACUGGUAUAAUCACUUAAUAAUACUGGAUUAAAGAUUUCGGUUGGGGUGACCUCGGAGCAUAACAAAACCUCCGAAUAACUUUUACCUAGACCUGACCAGUCAAAGUACACUCAUCAUCAAUUGACCCAAAACCAAUUUGAUCAACGGAACAAGUUACCCUAGGGAUAACAGCGCAAUCCUAUUACAGAGUCCAUAUCGACAAUAGGGUUUACGACCUCGAUGUUGGAUCAAGACACCCUAAUGGUGCAACCGCUAUUAACGGUCCGUUUGUUC
RNAcentral lists this ribosomal RNA (520 nucleotides) under Cheirogaleus major (Greater dwarf lemur). RNAcentral's name for it is "partial 16S ribosomal RNA". It matches the Rfam family "Bacterial large subunit ribosomal RNA", at positions 1848 to 2582 of the family's 2925-position model. The record is from RNAcentral. Lineage: Eukaryota; Metazoa; Chordata; Mammalia; Primates; Cheirogaleidae.